This 660-nucleotide ribosomal RNA is filed under the name Enterobacter cloacae. RNAcentral's name for it is "bacterial SSU rRNA". It matches the Rfam family "Bacterial small subunit ribosomal RNA", at positions 43 to 692 of the family's 1533-position model. Lineage: Bacteria; Pseudomonadati; Pseudomonadota; Gammaproteobacteria; Enterobacterales; Enterobacteriaceae. The record is from RNAcentral.
AAUGCGCAGCUACCAUGCAGUCGACGGUAACAGGAAGCAGCUUGCUGCUUCGCUGACGAGUGGCGGACGGGUGAGUAAUGUCUGGGAAACUGCCUGAUGGAGGGGGAUAACUACUGGAAACGGUAGCUAAUACCGCAUAACGUCGCAAGACCAAAGAGGGGGACCUUCGGGCCUCUUGCCAUCGGAUGUGCCCAGAUGGGAUUAGCUAGUAGGUGGGGUAACGGCUCACCUAGGCGACGAUCCCUAGCUGGUCUGAGAGGAUGACCAGCCACACUGGAACUGAGACACGGUCCAGACUCCUACGGGAGGCAGCAGUGGGGAAUAUUGCACAAUGGGCGCAAGCCUGAUGCAGCCAUGCCGCGUGUAUGAAGAAGGCCUUCGGGUUGUAAAGUACUUUCAGCGGGGAGGAAGGCGAUAAGGUUAAUAACCUUGUCGAUUGACGUUACCCGCAGAAGAAGCACCGGCUAACUCCGUGCCAGCAGCCGCGGUAAUACGGAGGGUGCAAGCGUUAAUCGGAAUUACUGGGCGUAAAGCGCACGCAGGCGGUCUGUCAAGUCGGAUGUGAAAUCCCCGGGCUCAACCUGGGAACUGCAUUCGAAACUGGCAGGCUAGAGUCUUGUAGAGGGGGGUAGAAUUCCAGGUGUAGCGGUGAAAUGCGUA